Small nuclear RNA from Otolemur garnettii (small-eared galago), 104 nucleotides. The record is from Ensembl. NCBI's taxonomy places the organism in Eukaryota, Metazoa, Chordata, Mammalia, Primates, Galagidae.
AUGCUCUUUUUGGCAGCACAUAUACUAAAAUUGGAACAAUUCAUAGAUUAGCAUGGUCCCUGUGCAAGGAUGAUAUGCAAGUUUAUGAAGUGUUCCAUAUUAAA